CCUACGGGAGACUGCAGUGAGGAAUAUUGGUCAAUGGCCGUAAGGCUGAACCAGCCAAGUCGCGUGAAGGAAGAAGGAUCUAUGGUUUGUAAACUUCUUUUAUAGGGGAAUAAAGGUAUCCACGUGUGGAUAUUUGCAUGUACCCUAUGAAUAAGCAUCGGCUAACUCCGUGCCAGCAGCCGCGGUAAUACGGAGGAUGCGAGCGUUAUCCGGAUUUAUUGGGUUUAAAGGGUGCGUAGGUUGUUUUUUAAGUCAGCGGUGAAAGUUUGUGGCUCAACCAUAAAAUUGCCGUUGAAACUGGAAGACGUGAGUGUGUUUGAGGUAGGCGGAAUGCGUGGUGUAGCGGUGAAAUGCAUAGAUAUCACGCAGAACUCCGAUUGCGAAGGCAGCUUACUAAGCCAUAACUGACACUGAAGCACGAAAGCGUGGGGAUCAAACAGGAUUAGAUACCCGAGUAGUC
Molecule: ribosomal RNA, 460 nt
Filed under: uncultured bacterium
Lineage: Bacteria
Description: partial 16S ribosomal RNA
Rfam family: Bacterial small subunit ribosomal RNA
Source: RNAcentral